AGGAAUCUGCCUAUUAGUGGGGGACAACAUCUCGAAAGGGAUGCUAAUACCGCAUACGUCCUACGGGAGAAAGCAGGGGACCUUCGGGCCUUGCGCUAAUAGAUGAGCCUAAGUCGGAUUAGCUAGUUGGUGGGGUAAAGGCCUACCAAGGCGACGAUCUGUAGCGGGUCUGAGAGGAUGAUCCGCCACACUGGGACUGAGACACGGCCCAGACUCCUACGGGAGGCAGCAGUGGGGAAUAUUGGACAAUGGGGGGAACCCUGAUCCAGCCAUGCCGCGUGUGUGAAGAAGGCCUUUUGGUUGUAAAGCACUUUAAGCGAGGAGGAGGCUACCGAGAUUAAUACUCUUGGAUAGUGGACGUUACUCGCAGAGUAAGCACCGGCUAACUCUGUGCCAGCAGCCGCGGUAAUACAGAGGGUGCAAGCGUUAAUCGGAUUUACUGGGCGUAAAGCGCGCGUAGGUGGCCAAUUAAGUCAAAUGUGAAAUCCCCGAGCUUAACUUGGGAAUUGCAUUCGAUACUGGUUGGCUAGAGUAUGGGAGAGGAUGGUAGAAUUCCAGGU
RNAcentral lists this ribosomal RNA (560 nucleotides) under uncultured bacterium. RNAcentral describes it as "bacterial SSU rRNA". It matches the Rfam family "Bacterial small subunit ribosomal RNA", at positions 119 to 674 of the family's 1533-position model. The record is from RNAcentral.